Long non-coding RNA from Nerophis ophidion (straightnose pipefish), 5248 nucleotides. RefSeq lists it as uncharacterized. Lineage: Eukaryota; Metazoa; Chordata; Actinopteri; Syngnathiformes; Syngnathidae. The transcript has 2 exons. The record is from RefSeq and is a predicted model, not a curated record.
CAUACAUAUAUACUGUAUAUACCUUUAUAUACAUAUAUACAUACAUAUAUACUGUAUAUACCUUUAUAUACAUAUAUACAUACAUAUAUACCUAUACUGUAUAUACCUUUAUAUACAUAUAUACAUACAUAUAUACCUAUACUGGCUCACCUGCACUGGCUUCCUGUGCACUUAAGAUGUGACUUUAAGGUUUUACUACUUACGUAUAAAAUACUACACGGUCUAGCUCCAUCCUAUCUUGCCGAUUGUAUUGUACCAUAUGUCCCGGCAAGAAAUCUGCGUUCAAAGGACUCCGGCUUAUUAGUGAUCCCCAAAGCCCAAAAAAAGUCUGCGGGCUGUAGAGCUUUUUCAUUUCGGGCUCCAGUACUCUGGAAUGCCCUUCCGGUAACAGUUGGAGAUGCCACCUCAGUAGAAGCAUUUAAGUCUCACCUUAAAACUCAUCUGUAUACUCUAGCCUUUAAAUAGACCUCCUUUUUAGACCAGUUGAUCUGCCGCUUCUUUUCUUUCUCCUAUGUCCCCCCCUCCCUUGUGGAGGGGGUCCGGUCCAAUGACCAUGGAUGAAGUACUGGCUGUCCAGAGUCGAGACCCAGGAUGGACCGCUCGUCGGGACCCAGGAUGGACCGCUCGCCUGUAUUGGUUGGGGACAUCUCUACGCUGCUGAUCCGCCUCCGCUUGAGAUGGUUUCCGCCUCCGCUUGAGAUGGUUUCCUGUGGACGGGACUCUCGCUGCUGUCUUGGAUCCGCUUGAACUGAACUCUCGCGGCUGUGUUGGAGCCACUAUGGAUUGAACUUUCACAGUAUCAUGUUAGACCCGCUCCACAUCCAUUGCUUUCGGUCCCCUAGAGGGGGGGGGGUUGCCCACAUCUGAGGUCCUCUCCAAGGUUUCUCAUAGUCAGCAUUGUCACUAGCGUCCCACUGGAUGUGAAUUCUCCCUGCCCACUGGGUGUGAGUUUUCCUUGCCCUUUUGUGGGUUCUUCCGAGGAUGUUGUAGUCGUAAUGAUUUGUACAGUCCUUUGAGACAUUUGUGAUUUGGGGCUAUAUAAAGAAACAUUGAUUGAUUGAUUGAUUUAUAUAGUAUUGGAGUGUCGAAAUGACAAAAGGAAAAGCUGGAAAAGGAUGAAGAAGAACUGGUAAAGAAGUGGAAUCAAAUAAAAGAUCAAGAAGGACUGUAAAGUUGCUGAGUAGACUGGUAUAGUGGUGGUGCAUUAAACUGGCAGCAGAUAUAAUAUGUGAUACUUUCUUUUUCUUCCUGCAGUCAUCCCGUCCUGCAGCAUGCACCUAUGUGAAUGUGGAGAAUGACCAGCAAUGUCCAAGGGGUAGCAGCAGGGUAACACUGCAUGAGGCGGUGCCCCCUGAAGGAGCCCAAAACACUGCUCUUCAAAUGGAACACAUCCAACCUUCAGGUGACCGUGCAGGAUGUACCACUCUGGAACAUCAAGCCUCUCCCCACCUGCCAGGUACACCCACCGUCUUCUGUGGCUGAAUAAUGUUUUGCUGUGAAUUUUGUCUCAAAGCAAAUCCUGCUCAAAUGUGACAAACUUUGGAGUGUAAGAAUGUGAGCGAUAUGCUGAGAUGUUAUACGUUUUGCCUUGUGACAAAAUGUUAUCAAAAACCUUUAGUGAUUUGUAUUCUAUUUUACUUUCAGCACAUGAAAAUAUUUCUACUUCUGACCAUCGAAGAGAAUGGAAAACCAUUUUCCAGAUCAGCCCUCAUACAUCCUCCUGAUGGCCUAACAACUGAAUGACAUGUCGAUGCUGAGUAUGAUCCAUUUCAAUCAUUUGAGGAAGCUCUCCCUGAUAUAGGGGAUUGGAUGUACAAUGACGGACAUACGUUUAAUGAAGGAUUUGAAGAUGGUUUGAGUGAGGAGUGUGCAGAAGAGUCCAAUUUCAAGGACACAACAGACAAACCAAUACAUGACAAUGCAUCAGAAACCAUGGCAGAGUGCCUUCUGAUCAGCAUGGGUUAUGUAAACUGUCCUAAAGUCACAGGUAAGGCCCUAAGCCAUAUGCUCAAAAUGUUCAAGUUGCUUUAUCCCGAUAGUCUGAACACAGACUGCUUAAACAGUGUGCAGAAGUUCCAAAACUUUUUUUUAUCCCACUCUGCAUCAUCGCCUACUAUAUUACAUAAAUCCUCCAAGAAUUGUUUUGGGCCAAUAGAAAGUAAACAAAUAAAAUGCCUGCUUUGUGGGACCAGUGUGUCAGAAGAAAGAUUCUCAUCCUUUUUUUAAAGUAUGUACAGAUUGAUUUCUUGUUUACCACAGCACAUUCAUGUGCCAAAUGGGCCCUCGUUGGUGAAUAUAAACAUGCAGGUUUUUCUUUGCUGCAAGAUAGUGUAACAUAUGAGACAUGCAGUCAUGUUAUUCCCCUAUUGGAAACCUCUGCAGUACAGUAGUAUUCUUGGAUGACAUAUUGGGUAAAGUUGUUUUCCUUGACUUCACAUCUAUGCCUGGCAUAGUGAUUGCAGUUCAUUUCCCCAACACACUUGAAAAGUUUGAAAUAAUGAAGAACUGAACUGGCCUAAGAAGCCACAAAUCAAAUCUUUAAUCAUUGUUAUAAAUGCUCUGAAAAUACACACUGAUGUGAUGUUGCCGUGGAUUCUGUAAAUAUGUACUGUAUAUGGAGUAUCAUUGUUGAUGAUGUUUUUGCAUUGUGUGUAAUAUUUCAGUGGCAAAUAUAUUACAUUUACUUGUUUAAUAAAGCCACUGUCCUUUUUAAUGAAUACAUAGGCCUACUAUGCUACUGUAUUUUAAUAUUAGUCCUUAUGAUGGUGGUUGGAGAGCCAAAUAUCUUCUGAAGUGGUACUUUGUUAAAAGAGUUUGAGAACCACUGCUCUAGAAAGUUCACAAAUGUUAAAAGCUCUUACAAAGUGUCUUGUGAUCAUAUCAGUAUUGUUUGGGUUCAGUUUUAAAUCUCACAAUUGUAGUCACUGAGUUACUGUACAUGACGUGUGGAUAAGAAAUCAACAAAUUAAGUCCAACUUUAUUUAAAUAAACCAUUUAGAUUACAGACCAUAUAUCCAUAUUGUCUGAAUUCAUUAUUUUCUCCCAAUGUUGGCAUGAGAUCAACUGGAAUAUGAUUGAGGUAUAACUAAAUUGAGCCCAUUAAAAUGCAUUUUUUUAGAAAACGGGUAUAUCUAACAACUCAAAUAGUGAGCAGUGAGAGACAAAACCAAGUAUAUCUCUCACUGAGACAUCAUUGAGACAUAUUGAAACCAAUACUCAUCAAUUGUCUUUUUGCCGAAAUAGAAAAGAGACAUCUGAGAACUCAAACAGUGAGUAGUGAGAAACAAAACCAGGUGUUUCUCUCACUGAGUCAUAAUUGAGACAUAUUGGAGACCAGCUCAUUCAUCUCUCAUUUUGGUCUUAGUUGAAAUGGGGAAAAGAGAUAACUAUUAGACAACUAUGAGAUCUCUCAUAGUGCUCACUGUGAGCCUUAUUUCUCAGGAGAUACAUUUGAGAAGAAUGAGAAAACUACUUUGGUCUCCAUUAGUGCUCUUUUAUGUCUAGGAGAUAUAUAUAAGACAUACAUGAGAUCUCAUCUUCAAUUUUGCUUUGCUAUGGGAAACAAGAGUUUGAUGAGCAUUCCUCAACUUUUUCGGUCUUUUUUGACACUCGUGCCAGCUUUUUUAAAGCAUGUUGCAGGCAUCAAAUUCCAAAAUGAGCUAAUAUUUGCAAAAAAAAAAAGUUUCUCAGAUCCAACAUCAAAUAUCUUGUCUUUGCAGUCUAUUCAAUUGAAUAUAAGUUAAAAAGGAUUUACAAAUCAUUGUAUUCUGUUUUUAUUUACCAUUUACACAACGUGCUACUUCACUGGUUUGGGGUUUUGUACAUGUUGACAGUACAUUGCAGUGUUAUUUUGUUACAGCCGUGCCCACUGUGUGAAGUACUUUUGCAAGACUCCUAGCAAUAAUAAUACACUUCACCAAAGAGCCUGCUGUAAAAGAAAUGACCAUUGAAUGAAGAUACAUACUCAGGUCACCGUGAUCUGAAAAGGAGAGUGAAGAAUGUUUUUGUAUUCCCCAGAUUCUAAUCAUCUUGGAUGAAUAAACAAGCAAUUCCUAAUUUCACUUGGAAAUGUGUUUACUAUAAAAGUGUAGCACUGUUUCCACACAAAAUACCUUCUGUUUUUGAAAAGAUGCCCAUGUGUGUCUUCCAGGUUGAACAUUCCACCCUUUGUGCCUGCCCGGACUGUGCUGGAAGGCCUCGAGUCAGAGGAUGCGUGUGAAGACAAGAAAGCUGUAAAAAAGGAGAUCCAUAGCAAAAAGGUCAAAUAAGUACAAACAAGUAUUUUACCUCGAUUAUUAACAGUUUAUUUUGCCCAAAAAUGUUAAGGGAGCCAAAAAGGACAAAAUGGAAGAGGAGAAUACAGACCUGCUCAGACUUUGCCACACAGUACCGCUGGAGGUGGUGAACUUAGGUAAGAAUCCAUGUUUCAAGGUUGAUCGGGGUGGGGGGAAGACAACGACACAAAGGUGCUCCUCUUAUUUAGACUUUUUGUUUAUGGAGGUGGGAAAGGUUACGAUCCAGAGAAGAAAGACUACUCAGGUUUUGAGGCCUGGUUGCAGUGUUACUAUGUGGAUGGAAUGAAGUCUGUACGCGACCACAAUGGCAGGACUAUGUGGUUCAAAGUAUGCAAACACAUUUUCAUACGUAACAACUAUAUUUGUAGCACGUAUUGACUAAUAGAAAAUGGUGUCAUUUCAGGGCGAUCCAGGUCCUAUGGCUCCUAAAGGUAAACGCCAGAAAAAAUAGUUGAGAUACCAUUACACAUAAGAGAAAGCUUAGUGUGUCUUUAUCUUUUCUCACACACCAGAAUCAAAGUCUCCAAAGGCCAAAAAGAGAAAAGAUACAGAUGCAGACCAUGAUUACCCCCGCAAGAAAAAGGUAUAUUCAGUAGGUAAUCACCACCAGCACAUAGAAAUCUAACCCCAUUGUGGCUGUACUUCAGGUGUCCAGGAAACACAACUCUGACAGCACAGUGAAGAAAAAAGCAGCCAAAAAGCCCACAAAAGCAGCAAAGGAAGAAGAAAAUGGACCUCAAGAAGAAGCCACACCCAGAAGAAGAUCAGCAAACACACCUCAGCAAGAACCGAAAUCCACGUCAGGCAGGAGGAAAAAGAACAAUACAGAGCCAGCUGCAGGUCUGAUUCUAAUAAUACUCCCAUUUUCUGAAAAUAUUAAGAGCCUGAUCUUUGAGGAUCCAAUUCCCACACACUUAUCUGUGUGCGCAAACUAUAAAAUUGCAUGUACUGUU